GCACGUAAACAAGGAAUGGAAAACUGGCGAUUCUUGCCCCCCUCCCCAACUUAAACCUCUUCCUCCCUCGUUACAAACCAUUUCAUUGAUUUGGCAUCAACUGUUUCCAAAUAAAUUACCAAUUCUAAAUUGCAAGGUGUUCUGUGUACAAAAGUGCAAUAAAAUUCCAGCCAUUUGAUUCUCCCCCUCAUCACCCCAGACGCCGCUUCCUUUAAAAGAACAAAACCAAGAAGCUUUUAAAAUCCUCUCCAGCCUAUUUCACCAAGUUGCUCCCUGAACCCUCUCCUGUCCCAAGCAAUGAAAAUAAGCUCCCAAACCUACAAGAACAUAAAUAAAUACGCCAGAAAGGAGGGGAAGAAGAGAAAGCAGGGAAAGAAAAUGAAAAACACUUACCGAGAAAACUUCCAGGGUUAGAUUUUUAAAUAAAAGAAGAUGUUUUAUUUUUUUUUUUAAAUAAGAGGACUGGGGUGGGGGCGGAGGGGAAGGCAUAUUCUCAACUCUCCAGAACCGACGCAUCCUUAGCCUUCCCUUUACACUGACGCCUCUAAGCCCAGCUCUCCACUAGUCUAUUAUUUUCACCAAAAUAUAUGAAAAUGUAUGCAAAUGAAAAUCAGCACUAACUGUU
Molecule: long non-coding RNA, 625 nt
Organism: Lemur catta (Ring-tailed lemur)
Lineage: Eukaryota; Metazoa; Chordata; Mammalia; Primates; Lemuridae
Exons: 2
Source: RefSeq, a predicted model, not a curated record